RNAcentral lists this long non-coding RNA (525 nucleotides) under Phasianus colchicus (ring-necked pheasant). Its description in RNAcentral is "lncRNA (ENSPCLG00000017274.1)". Lineage: Eukaryota; Metazoa; Chordata; Aves; Galliformes; Phasianidae. The record is from RNAcentral.
AAUUAGAGUAUGUGUAGUGGAAAUGCUAAGUCAAGGCUUGAAGCAGUGAUUGAGCACCUGGUGGGAAGGCAGGGUCAACUUGGGGGAGUGGCCGAAAUAGGGUCCCAGACCUCAUCUAUGGGAUAGCAGGGGAAAUGGAGGCAUCUUGCUGGCAAGUAAAAUAACAACUGAGAGAACUGAUUUUCUGAUGUAUACUGUCUGCCACAUUCUCUGGCUUUUGAAGUAAUUAGAAAAUAGAGCACAUCUUUCCAUCUUUGCGAAUAACUGGAAAUGACUUUUCCGGGUCACACUUGCAAUAUUUUUCUGUCCUGAGGAAUGAAGGAAGUCCAAAUGCCAGCAUGGAUGACUUUUUCUGAUUGAAUGAAUGGGACUUCUGAUCUGACACACCUGUUCCAGUAUCCUGAAAAGGCAAGGGAAGAACGAAAACAGGCUGCAAUCCAGCAGCUUGACGGGGGUCUGUCACUCUGCACACAGCUGGAAGGCUGCAGGAACAGAUGCACACUGUGUUACAAGUGCCAGCUCUGA